This 311-nucleotide long non-coding RNA is filed under the name Drosophila guanche. The record is from RNAcentral. Lineage: Eukaryota; Metazoa; Arthropoda; Insecta; Diptera; Drosophilidae.
GGGGUAUCAAAGGUUAACAUGUACCUAAUGCUUGGGGAUUCUACACAGAGAGCGUUUCUGCCAUCUGUUUGAUGUACGUUUUGGAGUGUUUUUCCAUGGAAAAAAGGAGUAUUUGGCAUUGGAGAGUUCAUUGAAUGGAAGCAAUAAUGUGGCACAUGGACAGGCUUAUGGAACACUGAUAAAAUCAUCUAAAACUUGGGCAAGUUCUUGCAUCAAAAUCCCUCCAAAAGUGCUCCAAACAGAUCGAAGUUUGCCUACCAAUAACAUGCAAAGGGUACAAACAAAACUUUCCAUUCUUAGCCUCACGCCUG